UUGACCUCAAAUCGGGGUAGACUACCCGCUGAACUUAAGCAUAUCA
This 46-nucleotide ribosomal RNA is filed under the name Lactarius oomsisiensis. Its description in RNAcentral is "partial 28S ribosomal RNA". Lineage: Eukaryota; Fungi; Basidiomycota; Agaricomycetes; Russulales; Russulaceae. The record is from RNAcentral.